GUCUAUGCCCAUGCUACCCUGAACAAGCCUUAUUCCAUUUGAUCUCGGAAGCUAAGCAGGGCCGGGCUUGGUUAGUACUUGGAUGGGAGACCACCUAGGAAGACCAGGUGCUGUAGGCA
RNAcentral lists this ribosomal RNA (119 nucleotides) under Pteropus alecto (black flying fox). Lineage: Eukaryota; Metazoa; Chordata; Mammalia; Chiroptera; Pteropodidae. The record is from RNAcentral.